This 58-nucleotide transfer RNA is filed under the name Salmo salar (Atlantic salmon). It matches the Rfam family "tRNA", at positions 8 to 63 of the family's 71-position model. From Rfam's summary of the family: Transfer RNA (tRNA) molecules are approximately 80 nucleotides in length. The record is from Rfam by way of RNAcentral. Lineage: Eukaryota; Metazoa; Chordata; Actinopteri; Salmoniformes; Salmonidae.
UGGCUCAGCUGGUAGAACAUGGAGCUUGCAACACCACGGUUGUGGGUUCGAUUCCCAC